Molecule: ribosomal RNA, 429 nt
Filed under: Bacteroidota bacterium
Lineage: Bacteria; Pseudomonadati; Bacteroidota
Description: Bacteroidetes bacterium partial 16S ribosomal RNA
Rfam family: Bacterial small subunit ribosomal RNA
Source: RNAcentral
UAGGGAAUCUUCCGCAAUGGGCGAAAGCUUGACGGAGCAACGCCGCGUGAGUGAUGAAGGUCUUCGGAUCGUAAAACUCUGUUAUUAGGGAAGAACGAAUGUGUAAGUAACUAUGCACGUCUUGACGGUACCUAAUCAGAAAGCCACGGCUAACUACGUGCCAGCAGCCGCGGUAAUACGUAGGUGGCAAGCGUUAUCCGGAAUUAUUGGGCGUAAAGCGCGCGUAGGCGGUUUUUUAAGUCUGAUGUGAAAGCCCACGGCUCAACCGUGGAGGGUCAUUGGAAACUGGAAAACUUGAGUGCAGAAGAGGAAAGUGGAAUUCCAUGUGUAGCGGUGAAAUGCGCAGAGAUAUGGAGGAACACCAGUGGCGAAGGCGACUUUCUGGUCUGUAACUGACGCUGAUGUGCGAAAGCGUGGGGAUCAAACAGG